GGCCUAUAUUGCAGUCGAACGGCACCACAGCACAGCUUGCUCUGUGGGUGGCCAGUGGCGGACGGGUGAGGAAUACAUGGGAAUCUGCCCAUUCGUGGGGGAUAACGUAGGGAAACUUACGCUAUUACCGCAUGCGCCCUUCGGGGGAAAGCGGGGGACCUUCGGGCCUGGCGCGAUUGGAUGAGCCCCUGUCGGAUUACCUAGUUGGCGGGUUAAAGGCCCACCGUGGCGACGAUCCGUACCUGGUCUGAGAGGAUGAUCAGCCACACUGGAACUGAGACACGGUCCAAACUCCUACGGGAGGCACCAGUAGGGAAUAUUGGACUCUGGGCGCAAGCCUGAUCCCUUUCGCCGCGUGUGUGAAGAAGGCCUUCGGGUUGUAAAGCACUUUUGUCUGGAAAGAAAAUCCCUGGUUUAACCCCCUGGUGUCCUGACCGUACCGGAAAAAUAAGCACCGGAUAAUUUCGUGCCAGCACCCGCGGUAAUACAAAGGGUGCUUGCAUUACUCAGAAUUACUGCGCGUAACGCGUGCGUAGGUGGUUUGUUAAGUCUGAUGUGAACCCCCUGCGCUCUCCCUGGGAAUGCCAUUGAAUACUGACG
RNAcentral lists this ribosomal RNA (600 nucleotides) under uncultured bacterium. Its description in RNAcentral is "bacterial SSU rRNA". It matches the Rfam family "Bacterial small subunit ribosomal RNA", at positions 46 to 638 of the family's 1533-position model. The record is from RNAcentral.